RNAcentral lists this ribosomal RNA (221 nucleotides) under uncultured bacterium. RNAcentral describes it as "partial 16S ribosomal RNA". It matches the Rfam family "Bacterial small subunit ribosomal RNA", at positions 524 to 741 of the family's 1533-position model. The record is from RNAcentral.
UACGGAGGGGGCUAGCGUUGUUCGGAAUUACUGGGCGUAAAGGGCGCGUAGGCGGUGCGAUCAGUCAGGCGUGAAAGGCCCGGGCUCAACCCGGGGACUGCGCUUGAUACUGUUGCGCUGUGAGUCCGGGAGAGGAUGGCGGAAUUCCCCAGUGUAGAGGUGAAAUUCGUAGAUAUUGGGAAGAACACCGGUGGCGAAGGCGGCUCACUGGCCCCGGUACU